UACGGAGGGUGCAAGCGUUAUCCGGAUUUACUGGGUUUAAAGGGUGCGUAGGUGGGUUGGGAAGUCAGUGGUGAAAUACUUUCGCUUAACGAAGGAACUGCCAUUGAUACUAUCAAUCUUGAAUGUAGUGGAGGUAGGCGGAAUGCGUCAUGUAGCGGUGAAAUGCUUAGAUAUGACAUAGAACACCGAUUGCGAAGGCAGCUCGUUACACGGUUAUUGACACUGAGGCACGAAAGCGUGGGGAUCAAACAGG
This 253-nucleotide ribosomal RNA is filed under the name uncultured prokaryote. Its description in RNAcentral is "partial 16S ribosomal RNA". It matches the Rfam family "Bacterial small subunit ribosomal RNA", at positions 524 to 776 of the family's 1533-position model. The record is from RNAcentral.